CAUGAGCCCCAUGUACAGCUCGAGCCCAAAGUGUGAGGCAAGACUUGGGAGGAGGGACGACCAGCAGCAGUUUCUGGGACCCCUGAUGCUCUUUAGGCCGAGGGGCCUGCACUGGAAUGGAGUCCACUGAAGGGGUGGUUGUUUUUCACCUCAGGGGGAUCAGAGUGUGCAACCCUGGGAACCUCCAUAUGCCACGGGAGCAGCCCUAGAAAAAAGGCAAAAAGACCAAAAAAAAAAAAAAAAAAAAAAAAAAAAAAAAAGAAAAGAAAAAGAAAAAAAAAAAAAAAGCAAUGUCUUUGAGCCUUUCUGCAGACCUAAAACCCCCAACAAAAAGGAAGAACUACUUGAUGAAGCCUUCUUCAGUUCCUGGAAGGAGGAGGACCACCAGAACCAGUCCUAAGGGCCACUAAACACCAGCUUUGAGAAACAAUGCAAGCUUGCUUCUACCAUGAUCCUUAUCUUUGGCCCUAUUCUCCCCAAAUUAUAAAACCAUCUUCUAAUCCUUUCCUAGGAGGGGCACAGUCUUUAAGGCAUUAGCUUGGUUUGGCUCCCUUGCCUGGCAAAGCACUAAAGCUAUCUUUUUCUCCUUCAUCCAAAACUGUCUCCACAUUUCUAUUCAGCAACUCUGGACAGGGGCUGUUUCAGCAACAUCCAUGAGGAUUUGGCUUCUAUCCCUGGCCUCACUCGGUGUAUUAAGGAUCUGGUGUUGCUGGUAGGUGCAGCAUAGGUCUCAGAUGUGGCUCGGAUCUGGCGUUGCUGUGGCUGUGGUGUAGGCUGGCAUCUGGAGCUCCAAUUCAACCUGUAGCCUGGGAACUUCCAGAUGCCUCGGCUGCAGCCCCAAAGAAAAAAAAUAAAAACCUUGUAGGACAGUUUCUGUUAUUUGCAUUUUUUUUUUCCAUGAGCAAGCUAAGUACCUGAAAAUUUGAGAAGUCAAGAAGAGAUUUCCACCCAGAGCCUGCCAGUUGGGUUUACUGAUGGAAGAACUUUUUCCUUAUAGAAGGUUAACAGUAAGUGGGCAUAUGUGAAACAAGUGUCCACUGAAAUAAAAACACAUAACAUGAGAGCUUUGUUUAUUUUUUUUAUUUAUUUUUAUUUUAUUCUCUUUUUAGGGCUGCACCUGCAACCGGCAACACAGCUCACAAGUGAGGCAGAAUAAUCACUCAGGUAGUCAGUGUAGGAGCAUGGGCUUCAGCGCAUUCUUUGAUAUGGCUAUUGAUUAACAUUUGUGGCUUCAGGGCUCCAGAGAGUAACAUCCCCACAGGCCUUGUUUACUAUAGGGAGUGUACCUACACCCAGAUGGACAUUAAUCCCUAACCCGCUGUGAUUCAAUCUCUGAGAGGAGAAGGGAAAUGAAACCAUGAGACUUAAGGGGCAUUUCCACCCUAAGACCCCUAUUGGACAAGGACUGAACUGGGCAAGGCCAAUAGGAAAAAAACCCACAUCUUUCUGGACCCCACGUUGGUAACCCCCAUCUUUAAGGUAUAAAAACCCCUAUAGGACAAUAGAAGCUGGGACUCUUCUUCCCCCUCCCAGCUGUCCUGGGAGCUGUUUGCUUUCCUGCAAUAAAGGCUUUGCUUGCUUGC
Molecule: long non-coding RNA, 1583 nt
Filed under: Sus scrofa (pig)
Lineage: Eukaryota; Metazoa; Chordata; Mammalia; Artiodactyla; Suidae
Description: lncRNA (ENSSSCG00060021989.1)
Source: RNAcentral